ACGCUCGACACCUACGGGAGGUAGCAGUGAGGAAUAUUGGUCAAUGGACGCAAGUCUGAACCAGCCAUGCCGCGUGCAGGAUGACGGCUCUAUGAGUUGUAAACUGCUUUUGUACGAGGGUAAACGCAGAUACGUGUAUCUGUCCGAAAGUAUCGUACGAAUAAGGAUCGGCUAACUCCGUGCCACAGCCGCGGUAAUCUGAGCGGGCUGGCAAGGC
This 217-nucleotide ribosomal RNA is filed under the name uncultured bacterium. RNAcentral describes it as "partial 16S ribosomal RNA". It matches the Rfam family "Bacterial small subunit ribosomal RNA", at positions 328 to 539 of the family's 1533-position model. The record is from RNAcentral.